Molecule: long non-coding RNA, 598 nt
Organism: Paramormyrops kingsleyae
Lineage: Eukaryota; Metazoa; Chordata; Actinopteri; Osteoglossiformes; Mormyridae
Source: RefSeq, a predicted model, not a curated record
GGGUGGAAAACACGCACCCCCGGCGUCUGACAGCUCCGGCAUUUAAACAUGUGCCUGUCCGGUUUCUGGUUAACCAGCUAGUUAACCCCGUUAAUCCAACCGCCACCUAUACGGAGGGACCCGCCCCCCAACGAGCAUCGACCUGUCAUCAUGCGAGGCGGAUGAAGUUCAAAUGACAGCGCAGGUCGUCGAAUCGUAAGGGCAGAAAACCACACGAGCGGCUGGGGGGCUUGGCGAUCCACCCAAUCCAAGGCAAACGCAGGCAUGGGUUUGGACAAAUUCAAGCCCCGUACUGCUUUGGAGCAUUUCUUCUGAGCCAAGUACAAAGCCAAGUGUUAAAGGCGAGGCUGGAUUGUGGGGGCCACGUGGGUGACAGGAGAACCACCUCCAUUUCUGCCUGACGUGGGGUUCUUCAGUGGGGAAACAUUGGUGACAACAGCCAUGCCAACCAAAAAAAAAGUUCAGAGAUGAAACAGUUGAGUUUUCAGUGUGGCAGAAUGGAGAAAUUAUUUAUGGCACCACAGACAGGAUGUGUGGGCGAAAGUAUGAUAUCAAGGGGCUGGUUUAGUGUUUUUUCUUAAAUAAAAUAAACUCCUCU